UAUACUGCAAGUCGAACGAGUAGUAAUACUAGUGGCGCACGGGUGAGGAAUAUAUGGGUAAUCUGCCCUCGAGUUGGGGAUAACCAGUCGAAAGACUGGCUAAUACCGGAUAAGACCACAGGAUCUGCGGAUCUAGGGGUUAAAGUUUUUUCGCUUGAGGAUGAGCCCAUACGGGAUUAGCUAGUUGGUGAGGUAAUGGCUCACCAAGGCUACGAUCCCUAACUGGUCUUAGAGGAUGAUCAGUCACACUGGAACUGAGACACGGUCCAGACUCCUACGGGAGGCAGCAGUAGGGAAUAUUGCACAAUGGGGGAAACCCUGAUGCAGCGACGCCGCGUGAGUGAUGAAGGCCUUCGGGUCGUAAAGCUCUGUCGCAUGGGACUAACACAAUGAAGGUACCAUGCAAGAAAGGAUCGGCUAACUUCGUGCCAGCAGCCGCGGUAAGACGAGGGAUCCUAGCGUUGUUCGGAAUCAUUGGGCGUAAAGCGGGUGUAGGCGGACUUAUAAGUCAGGUGUGAAAUCCCAGGGCUCAACCCUGGAAGUGCAUUUGAUACUGUAAGUCUUGAGUGUGGUAGAGGUUACUGGAAUUCCUGGUGUAGUGGUGAAAUACGUAGAUAUCAGGAGGAAUACCGGAGGCGAAGGCGGGUAACUGGGCCAACACUGACGCUGAGAUCCGAAAGCGUGGGGAUCAAACAGGAUUAGAUACCCUGGUAGUCCACGCUGUAAACGAUGGAUACUUGUUGUUAGAGGUAUUGACCCCUCUAGUGACGUAGCUAACGCGAUAAGUAUCCCGCCUGGGGAGUCGG
RNAcentral lists this ribosomal RNA (806 nucleotides) under uncultured bacterium. Its description in RNAcentral is "bacterial SSU rRNA". It matches the Rfam family "Bacterial small subunit ribosomal RNA", at positions 50 to 884 of the family's 1533-position model. The record is from RNAcentral.